Molecule: long non-coding RNA, 1967 nt
Filed under: Gossypium raimondii (Peruvian cotton)
Lineage: Eukaryota; Viridiplantae; Streptophyta; Magnoliopsida; Malvales; Malvaceae
Description: long non-coding RNA (GRAI_LNC008193)
Source: RNAcentral
AGCAUUUCCUAAACAAAAAUGCAAAACAAACCCUAAGUCUUUCAAUUUUCCCUGAAUACUCAUCCGCUUCCGAAGCACUAGAAAAAUUCCUCUGUAGGAGUUGAAAGCCCUCAUCCGCUUCACAAAUCUCUCUCCUUUAGUCCUAACUCCUCAGAUUUUCUGAGUUCCUCGGAGUUUCCAAAACAGAAACCAAACACUCCGGAUUCAAAUUGAAAAAAUCUUCUCUUACCACCGUUGCUCCUUCGUGACGACGACCUCGACGUCCAGUGAAACAUCUUCCAUUCAGUAGGUCGGGCUUUUACACCGUCGUCCCCAAGUUGCCAUUUCGUGUGCUGAUCUAUUUGCUGCUCACGGGACAUAUCAUGAGGUAAAUGUUCUAAACAUGGUUGCUCUAUUUUUUUUUAUCUCAUUAAUUUUGUUGCAUAUAAUUGAUCUAUUAAUCUCCGAUGUUUCUAUUCUUUUCAAGACCGGGAGUGCAUCACCUUCUACACAAACGUCACCAAAGCCUAUUUCUUUUGCAAAAAUAAUUGCUUGUAAACAUGCAUGCACUUCUGCCAUUGUUGGGUCUUGGACAUUUUCAAUCGAGUAAACACAUGAGCCCAUAACCAAUCCUAAGUUAUUCCUUAUAAUUACUACUGCAACAAAUCUGUGUGUCUACCGUUGGUAGGAGGCAUCAAAGUAUACUUUAAAUUGUUCUCCCUGUUAGAGUUGUGACCCAAAUUAUUAUUAAAAUAAAAUACAAGUGACAAAAUAGGGGGAUCCACGAGGAAUAAGGCUGAGGUUUUCUAAACAUAUAAGUAGACGCAAUCUAUACUUCUUGUAAUUAUUUGAAUUUGACAUAGUGAAUUUUCUUCUCCUCUGCUCGUGAUUUUUUUUUCUAAAAGGGUUUUCAUGUAAAAUCCGUGUUAUAUUUUUCUCUCUUUUCUUACCAUUAUCAACAUUAUAUUUUUUUACACUCCUUUUAGAGGUUCCUACUGUAUUUCUCCUAUGUUGUUUCGAUGUACUGUGAUGUCCUCUAACUGUUUUAACUCUACUAUGUAUGCCUUAAUGAAACUGAGAACUUCAAAUGCUAUUUCUCUUUUACCUUCAUGAUAUAACUUGUUUUUAUUGUGCCAAAUGGCCCACUAUGCAAUGGCUAUGUUUAUGCUUUGCAAACUUUACAAUUUAAAGAAAACAUAUACUAACAAAAAUUUCCAUCCUUGAUUUGUGUUUGUGUGAGAGGAUACCAUUCUUAUCUCUUGAAGCACUUGUUUCGUAAAGGCACAGUCUCAGAAAAGAUGGUCUACUAUUUCGUCUUAGUUUUUGCAGAUCGGGCAAAGGGCCUUCUCCCUUAGCCUUCGAUACUUUAGGUUACUUAAUAUAGACAGAAAAUUAUUAGAAACCUUCUAUAGGUGUAUUCUAAUUUUAUUUGGGAUUUUGAGAUUCCAUAGUUCUGUAUAAUAAUUUUUUGUAGCGAUGUCUUGUAAAUUAUUAUCAUUCUUUGUCUCGUCUUGGACGCCUGUAAUGCACCACUUGUACCCGCUUUUGACCAAGUAUUCUGUCGUAUUUUCCCCUAUCCAGAUUAAAGCAUUUGGAUAAGAGUUGUUCACCAGUGGGAUGGUUAAAAUCAUCUUGGCUUGCUCAUUCAUGAACAGUAUUUCUACUAACUCCGUUUUUUAGGUUUUAGUCUCGCUAUUAAUGAGGUCUGCAACCUUCGAAUAUCUAAUAUCAAUAUUCUGAAUUUUUACCUUCCGAUUUCCAGGACCUGGAAUCCAUGCAUCGUUCUAUAUAUUCAUUGUCCGGCCAUUCCCAAUUCUCCAGCCAAUACCAUCUUCCAAAAUGCUACAAGUACCAAAACUGCUUCGCUAGGUAAAAGAAAGGUGAGAUCCUAAACCUGCGUUCAUAAACUCACUUAGCUUUCAUUACUCGCGUAAGUAAACUGGUAGAAUUGGUAGUUAGUUUCCAACCCUUCUUCGCUGAAAGGGCUU